Molecule: ribosomal RNA, 344 nt
Filed under: uncultured eukaryote
Lineage: Eukaryota
Description: SSU rRNA
Rfam family: Eukaryotic small subunit ribosomal RNA
Source: RNAcentral
CCAGCAGCCGCGGUAAUUCCAGCUCUAAUAGCGUAUAUUAAAGUUGUUGCAGUUAAAAAGCUCGUAGUCGGAUGUCGGGCUCGGAGAGGCUGUCGGCCUUUGGUCGGACGGCAUCUCCGGGUCUUUCUGCCUGGGGAUCCUACUCUGCUUAACCGCAGGGUAGUGGGACGCAGGCCGUUUACUUUGAAAAAAUUAGAGUGUUCAAAGCAGGCUUACGCUUGAAUACAUUAGCAUGGAAUAAUGGAAUAGGACUUUGGUCUUAUUUGUUGGUUUAUGGGACUGAAGUAAUGAUUAACAGGGACAGUUGGGGCCGUUUAUAUUUCGUUGUCAGAGGUGAAAUUCUU